This 253-nucleotide ribosomal RNA is filed under the name uncultured bacterium. Its description in RNAcentral is "partial 16S ribosomal RNA". It matches the Rfam family "Bacterial small subunit ribosomal RNA", at positions 524 to 776 of the family's 1533-position model. The record is from RNAcentral.
UACGGAGGAUGCAAGCGUUAUCCGGAUUUAUUGGGUUUAAAGGGUGCGUAGGCGGGAUAGUAAGUCAGUGGUGAAAGCCUGCGGCUCAACCGUAGAAUUGCCGUUGAUACUGUUAUCCUUGAGUCCAGUUGAGGUGAGCGGAAUGUGUAAUGUAGCGGUGAAAUGCUUAGAUAUUACACAGAACACCAAUUGCGUAGGCAGCUCACUAAGCUGAAACUGACGCUGAGGCACGAAAGCGUGGGGAGCGAACAGG